AAAUAGUAUUGAACCUAGAGAUAUUUAAAACACAAGUAUGUCUAGGGUAAGGCUAGGUAACACAUGAAACUUCAUGUCACUCAUGGAACACUUAACGGUGCUAGUAUGUUUGAUGGAUGAGGUACAGCAGGGCCUUUCAGGGUUUUUCAUCACUGGGGCAAUACUAGAGACUAUGCUAGUUUGACAGACAGCGUAAUGGAUACCUAAAUCCUUUGUCUCUGGACCUGCCCUGUUGCUACUGCUCAAUCUGAGCUGUGGUCUAACCCUGCAUCAGCCCCGUGUGUCCCCAUGCAGGAGCACAGGUGCUGCUGCUUUUGUCUGGUCCCUGGGCCUGUAGCUGCUGUUGGCACGUGGGAGGGGAGUGACUUUCACCCACGCAGAGAUGGUGUUCCCUGUUCACCAUGCAGGAGGGGUGAGCUGGCAAACGUGCUUGUCCUGCAGGAAGCUGCAUGCAGACAGGCUGGUGUAGAGCCACAGGCAUGAGAGAGCCAGAGAGAUAAAGCCUCUGGGUUUGCCAGAAGUAGUUCAUGGCUGCUUAAUUCAGAGGCCUGAAUGAGCCUCCAGGCCAGACAGUCUAAAGCUGGGGCUGGGCUCAAGUCAAACACACAAAUGAGAAUGUGGCUGGGAAGUGUCAAGGACUCCUGUUCUCUACCGACUGUCCAGUCUGUACUCCAUCCUUGUGGCUGUGCUACUUUGCUGUUAUUUUUUUAAGAAAAUUGAAGCAAAUGGUUCUAUUAUCAAUAAUGUAGUUAGAAUAUUAUUUGUUUAGUACUUUGAGCAUGUAAAGUAUUGUAAAUGCCAGUUUUUUACUUACUACAUUAAGUAUGCUGAAAGGCUUUAGACAUAAAAAGGGAUAAUUUCCAAACGUGAAUAUUUUUCUGAGUCCCUGACUUUUCAGUAAGGCUUACUACUACUAAUAAAUAAGACAGAUACGUUAGACCUGACUCUGCGGCCUUGCUGAUUGGUGCUUAAAAAACAUUUGUUUUCCUCAGUGUGGCUUGUUGAAUUUUCUUCUGAGGAUUUUUGAGCAGAGUUUGCAUCGUGGAGAUGCUAAAAAAGGAAGAAUACAGUUACAAUACAGGAUUCAAACACACUAUUUUCAGAAGUUCAUUGUACAGAUAUAUCUGUGUCAUUUAAAUAUUCAACACAAAAUCUGUUGAAGUAGUUUAUAAUGUGCUAGCUAUAGACAAAACCAAUUAACAUUAUAUUUUGUAUAUUGCCAUGAUUAUAAUCUAAUCUGUGCUGUAAGUGGUUCAUUUAUUGCUUCAUUAUCUUAAUUAAUUUGUUGAGUUUUCCAGACAGAGAAAUGAGCUUAAAUUAUUUCUUAAGUUGGAAACUGUGUAAGUAAAUCAAAGGAAAGAUAAUGACAUUUCUUAGGAUCCCUUUAAUUGGAAAAAGGCUUGAGAAAAUUUGGAAGAAAUCUUCUGUCACUGCUGUUACUUACGGGUGUGGUGUUGCUCAGAAUUAAUAGUGUGCCCCCAUUCCCUGGGCUUGGGGUGUUAGGGGCUGUUGCAGGGGUAAGAAAAGUGAAGCAGCUUGGAUGAUCACAAGGGGAAGUAAAUAUUCAGCAGUAAUGUGUUUGGAUUGCCUGUUUGUUUGUUCGUUGUCAUUUUAUCUUAACAUUGCUGCAAAGCUUCCAACUUUCUGCGUGCUGGAAUCAAGGCUCUUACAGUGGAUUUGUAGCUUUCACAGCAUUAAUCAAAGAUGUGUGUGCAUGAUGGGAAAAGGCUGUUGGUUCCUCCCUCCCUCCAGGGGACUUGUUCAGAAUACCAUUAGGAGUUCCUUUAUUCUCUCUUUUAAAACAAAUUUGGUGUUGGCAAAAUCUGAAUGGAAACCAGAAUGAGUUUGUACUAAAAAUUCCUGCAGUUAGUUGCCAUGUGUAUUUAGUGUUUUACUCUUCAGCUUCUGAGGACUUCUCUGACCACCAAAGUCAUAAAUAGAGUGUUAAUGUUUUGAAAUCCUUAAGUUGCCCUUUAUGUAAUGGGAAA
This is a non-coding RNA of Taeniopygia guttata (zebra finch), 1988 nucleotides long. The record is from RefSeq and is a predicted model, not a curated record. Lineage: Eukaryota; Metazoa; Chordata; Aves; Passeriformes; Estrildidae.